UGGAGACGCCCGAAGCCGAUUAUCUAACCUUUUGGAAGAAGUCGUCGAAGGUGGAAUCAAUAACUGGGGGGAAGUCGUAACAAGGUAGCCGUAUCGGAAGGUGCGGCUGGAUCACCUCCUUUCUAAGGAGA
This 131-nucleotide ribosomal RNA is filed under the name Clostridioides difficile. RNAcentral's name for it is "partial 16S ribosomal RNA". It matches the Rfam family "Bacterial small subunit ribosomal RNA", at positions 1412 to 1533 of the family's 1533-position model. The record is from RNAcentral. Lineage: Bacteria; Bacillati; Bacillota; Clostridia; Peptostreptococcales; Peptostreptococcaceae.